This 339-nucleotide ribosomal RNA is filed under the name Klebsiella pneumoniae. RNAcentral's name for it is "bacterial SSU rRNA". It matches the Rfam family "Bacterial small subunit ribosomal RNA", at positions 397 to 727 of the family's 1533-position model. Lineage: Bacteria; Pseudomonadati; Pseudomonadota; Gammaproteobacteria; Enterobacterales; Enterobacteriaceae. The record is from RNAcentral.
CCGCGUGUGUGAAGAAGGCCUUAUGGUUGUAAAGCACUUUAAGCGAGGAGGAGGCUACUUUAGUUAAUACCUAGAGAUAGUGGACGUUACUCGCAGAAUAAGCACCGGCUAACUCUGUGCCAGCAGCCGCGGUAAUACAGAGGGUGCGAGCGUUAAUCGGAUUUACUGGGCGUAAAGCGUGCGUAGGCGGCUUAUUAAGUCGGAUGUGAAAUCCCCGAGCUUAACUUGGGAAUUGCAUUCGAUACUGGUGAGCUAGAGUAUGGGAGAGGAUGGUAGAAUUCCAGGUGUAGCGGUGAAAUGCGUAGAGAUCUGGAGGAAUACCGAUGGCGAAGGCAGCCA